UAAACAUUAUAAAGCGAAAGUGGAUGAACGCAACUGAAGUCUUGGGUUCAAUUGUUACGAUUUGUCCUCGUGUAAAUGCUAAUUUCAUGGACGAUCAUUACCAUGAGUUUCUCCCGUUAGAUCCCGCCAGUCCCUUGAACGGUUGGAUUCCUAGCAAGGUUCCUAAUUUGCUUCAAUAUUAACAAUGGAAACUACAUGGAUCAGUGACAUGGAGAUAGGUGGCUCGCAGUGGUGAAUCUUUAUGCAUUUGUUUUUGUGAGGAAUUGAAAUUUCGUUAAACUUGUUUCUUGUACUCGGGCAUUACAAAAAACAACCAUUCGAGACGUGUAUUAGUCGUGCAUGUCCUACAAAUUCAGUAUUUUAUAUAGGUAGA
Molecule: long non-coding RNA, 373 nt
Organism: Olea europaea var. sylvestris
Lineage: Eukaryota; Viridiplantae; Streptophyta; Magnoliopsida; Lamiales; Oleaceae
Exons: 3
Source: RefSeq, a predicted model, not a curated record